AUUGAUCGCUGCCGGCAGGCCUAACACUUGCAAGUCGAACGAGUGGCGGACGGGUGAGUAAUCUCUGGGAAACUGCCCGAUGGUGGGGGAUAACUACUGGAAACGGUAGCUAAUACCGCAUACCCUCGCAUGUGCCCAGAUGGGAUUAGCUAGUCGGUGGGGUAACGGGUCACCUAGGCGACGUUCCCUAGCUGGUCUUAUAGGAUGACCAGCCACACAGGAGCUGGGACACGGUCCAGACUCCUGCGGGAGGCAGCAUGGGGGGAUAUUGCACAAUGGGCGCAAGCCGGAUGCAGCCGUGCCGGGUGUAUGAAGAAGGCCGUCGGGGUGUAAAGUACUGUCAGCGGGGAGGCGUUGCCCGCAGAAGGAGCACCGGGUAGCUCCGUGCCAGCAGCCGCGGUAAUGC
Molecule: ribosomal RNA, 406 nt
Filed under: uncultured bacterium
Lineage: Bacteria
Description: partial 16S ribosomal RNA
Rfam family: Bacterial small subunit ribosomal RNA
Source: RNAcentral